ACAUGCCCUCUUUUCUCUCCCCCCCUCUUUCUCUACCUCAGACGACUCUCAUUCAAUCUCCACCUCAGACGACUCUCUCUUCCCUUUGUUGCUUCUCCGUCGGUAACCCGCCAUCACCAUUUCACUUGUCGGCUGCACGGCUGCUUUUGUCGUAGUUGGUUCGUUGUUGUGCUGCCCCGGUUGUUGUUGCUAUGCUCUCUCUCGCCUGCCCCAUCUUUCUCUCGUCACUACCUUGUAUCGAAACCGCCUACGGUGGUCGAGGGUGGUGGUUGAGGGUUUUUCGCUACCCUAUCGAUCGGUACUUUAAUUGAUCAAGGCGAGUCUUCCGAUUUUUAUUCUCAACAAUACCCAGAAGAUCAUCCUGCAUUUGGAUUUUUAACUUGGAAGUGGGUUCUAACUCUCGGGUUCGACCACAUGUUCUCAUCGCCUAUUUUCCUGGGAACUUUGGGAGUCUUGGAAGCAUCUCUAAUGGCCUCUACUUACACUACAUAGAUUCCCUUGGUUAAGGUCGCACGAAGACAACUACCUGGUUGGACGGAGAUGGCUGCAAAAUGCGGAGCGGUUCAGUGACCUAUGAAGAAGGAUUGCCUCUUGAUACUUCUAAAGCUUGUGAUGCAUGUGAUAUAUGGUAUUCAACAAUCCGAGGGAGUAGCCUUUUAGUAUUGAGUAGAUAAAUGAAGUUCGAGAAAAGUUGGCAAACUUCAUUACCAUUUAUUGUCUUUGAUAUUUUCUUGUAGUGAAUCUUAGAUUAUGGAUGCUAAUUUUCCGUACGAUCGUAAUGUAAUCAAUUUUUAUAUUUAUGAUUAUAUACUAUUUAAUUUAUUUA
Spinacia oleracea (spinach) is the source of this 826-nucleotide long non-coding RNA. RefSeq lists it as uncharacterized. The record is from RefSeq and is a predicted model, not a curated record. The transcript is spliced from 4 exons. NCBI's taxonomy places the organism in Eukaryota, Viridiplantae, Streptophyta, Magnoliopsida, Caryophyllales, Amaranthaceae.